GACGAACGCUGGCGGCGUGCUUAACACAUGCAAGUCGAACGGAAAGGCCCUGCUUUUGUGGGGUGCUCGAGUGGCGAACGGGUGAGUAACACGUGAGUAACCUGCCCUUGACUUUGGGAUAACUUCAGGAAACUGGGGCUAAUACCGGAUAGGAGCUCCUGCUGCAUGGUGGGGGUCCGAAAGUUUCGGCGGUUGGGGAUGGACUCGCGGCUUAUCAGCUUGUUGGUGGGGUAGUGGCUUACCAAGGCUUUGACGGGUAGCCGGCCUGAGAGGGUGACCGGCCACAUUGGGACUGAGAUACGGCCCAGACUCCUACGGGAGGCAGCAGUGGGGAAUAUUGCACAAUGGGCGGAAGCCUGAUGCAGCAACGCCGCGUGCGGGAUGACGGCCUUCGGGUUGUAAACCGCUUUCGCCUGUGACGAAGCGUGAGUGACGGUAAUGGGUAAAGAAGCACCGGCUAACUACGUG
Molecule: ribosomal RNA, 468 nt
Filed under: uncultured bacterium
Lineage: Bacteria
Description: partial 16S ribosomal RNA
Rfam family: Bacterial small subunit ribosomal RNA
Source: RNAcentral